This is a long non-coding RNA of Oncorhynchus tshawytscha (Chinook salmon), 1274 nucleotides long. The record is from Ensembl. Lineage: Eukaryota; Metazoa; Chordata; Actinopteri; Salmoniformes; Salmonidae.
GUUUAUACUUUUGUGGUAUCAGGUUGAUUGAAGAGGUCUACACCAUGUAAAUUGUAGUAAUUUAGAUUAAGAAUGCAUUGAGAUACUGAUCUGUAUUAUAAUCAUGAUUAAAAAAGUUAAUAGUAGAAUUAUGGGAUAAUUAUACUGAAUGUAAGUAAAUCUGCUAAUAUUGAUGUGUGUUAAAUUGAGGUUUUUACUUUGAGUGAUAAGACAAAUUUGAAUCACUGAGGAAUGCUAUUCUAAAUAUUGGUUGGAUAAAUAGUUGGGUUGUUACUUAUGAUUUGGAAUAUGAAUGAUUUCACUGCCCUAUGCUCUAUUCCUGAGUAUAUUUCUGAGCAUGAGGACUUAGAGUGAUGUCUGUCCUAUAUGUUUUGAUGGGGUCUGUGUUUAGAUACUGGUUCUCAUGUAACUUAGGGAGCAUUUCUAAAUAUGUUAUGUUUUUCUUUUCCUCAAAUGGAUUAUUCUGUGUUAUUAAACAUGUGCAAGUUUGUCUUGUAGAAUAAAGGUUGUAAACUUAGUUUCAGAAGGGAGAAAGCUUACAUAUAAGCUACGGUAUUUGACAUUGAGGGGAUUUGAAUUUUAUAUUGAGUAUGUAAUUAAUAUUCUGAUUCUUUAGAAGGGACAAUGUCCCUUGAGAGGGGAAUGUUGGGGAAUAAUCAGAAUUAGUUGGUAACAUAGGUAAGAUGUUUUAUAUUCAUCAUAUGUUUGUAAGUUACUUCUCAUCAGAAUGUUCUUUUUGUAUAAUACUGUGGCGGGGUCGCAGUAUCUGUUCUAUGUCAAGACUAAGUUGCUUGGGCCGGAGAGAGGGGAGAGGUCAAGCGUGUAUCUCUUGGCUCCCCAAUGUCUGUGUGCCAGUCAGUGUGUCUCUGUGAUCUUGUCAAGAUAGGAUGGAUUUGAUAUAUGGCUGUUGAUAUGGAGGAUUUGUUUAUGGUUCUGAGUUUGAGAAAAGAGCAUAGUUUAGGAGACAAAGCUGAACGAUAAAUUAUGUGUGUCUUUUGCUAUUAAAGGAUCUCAGCUGCAAUGUGUAAGGGACUCUCAGAGAAUUCAUUGAUAGACACUGAAUUGAUCUGAGAGUCACAGGGUUGUGAUAGAGCUCAUAUAAUUAAAGAUGGACUUUGAUAACUAACUCUGACUUGUGUGUGGUUUGCUCUCAUGAAAUUUCCACGACAUACUGUUGACUUGAAGAUUAAAAUAUCAGGAGGCAUAAAAUGUGAUGCAUUAAAUUAAAAGAAUUUCGAAUUUUAAGCUCAGCAAUGUUUGUAUUGUAUCGGUCU